UUUAUAGGCGAAAUAAUUUUUUCCUUUGGCAAAAAGUCUCCCUCCAAUUCUCACAUCUCGGUCUAACUCUCAAAUUUCUCGCUCCAAAUCUCAAAAUUCUCACUCCAGUCAUCAGUUACUCCUACUCUAACCCAAUUUUCCUAAUCUAACCUAAUCUUCCUCCCAUCUCAUUUGUCAUCAAAAUCGUCAGUCAUCAGCUCUAAACCAAUCUUCCUAAUCUAACCUAAUUACUCCAACUCUUAGAAAUUUUAGGAGGACAGAUGAUGAUGAUGGUUAAAAUGCAACCAGCUAAAGCAAAAAACAAACCGGGAUCAAAUUUGAAGCCUGGAAAGAUCAAGUACAUAAAAUAAGGUUUAUUAGGUAAGGCGAGUGGUCAAGGGUUAAGACUAGUGAUUUUUGAAGAUGGAAGUAGUGCAUUUAAUUCAUCGAAGAGUGCUCCAAGUACUCCAAUUACACAAUUUGGCAUGGAGCAUUACAUUUGUGAUCAGAUAAAUGACGCUGAGAAACAAAGGAAAGUAGAAGCAGAACGCGAGGCAAAAUUUCAUGAAAUUGCUCAAAAAUAAAAGAAAAGAGGGAGAGAGAGAGAAGAGGAAAGGAAAUUAUCUGCUUCGUCUUCUAGGCCUUCAUAUCCUCCUGCUGUGUCCCGUCCAGAGCUAAGUGCAUUUGCUCCUACUGCUGCCACUGGCAAAUACGUACCUAGAUAUCAUUGGGACAAAGAAGGCCCAAGAAAUGGGGGCUCUAGGGAGUCUCGUCUAGAUGGGGAUGCUAGGCAAAAACCUGUAAUUGAUGACCUCUGGGUUAGUAGGCAGCCUCCUUUUGACUAUGACAGAGGGCCUAGUAGCACAAGGAUGGAAGUUCUAAACCUACCCAUUGAUAGGCGACGUGAUGUCAGCUCAAAGUCCACUUGUUCAUCUUCUAGAGAAGAAAAAAGGAAAUUUGGUGCUACCGGAAUUUUGAAGAUGCCGUUUUGAUCAACUAUCAUUGACUGGACAAGAUCAAAACCUAAUUAAAGGGCUCGAGGCAACAAAAACAGAGAUGAGAAGAUGGAAUUAGAGAGCCUAAAAGCUAAGCAUUUAAUUUCUUUUAUGUUCAUUUAUGAAUUAUUACUUUCUAUAUUCUUGACCAUCUCCUAAUUUUUGAAUUUAAUUGCUAUGUAUUUUUCAGCCGGACCAGUAAAGAGGGAAGCAAAAGGCUUUCAGAGAAAGAAGAGAAUGAGAAAGAAAAUCAAACAGAAACUUGGAUGAAUUUGAGAUUGAUAUAAGUGAUCCACAUGCAAGAGAAAUAGUAUAUGUAAUGAUGGCUAGACGAUUGCAGGUGACGGCUUACUUAAAUAUAUUUUUUAAUUCGUUACGCUUUUAAUUUUUCUUUAUAAUUUCAAAAUUAUUCAAUUAAUUAUGUCAAUUUGAAAAUAAAAGUGUAUAUAAUAAACAUAUUUUUUUUUCCAGAUGGGAAUUGUUGGAAUGAAAGAAGAUGGACGUCUUCUAUUUCAAAA
Long non-coding RNA from Mercurialis annua (annual mercury), 1492 nucleotides. RefSeq lists it as uncharacterized. The transcript is spliced from 5 exons. NCBI's taxonomy places the organism in Eukaryota, Viridiplantae, Streptophyta, Magnoliopsida, Malpighiales, Euphorbiaceae. The record is from RefSeq and is a predicted model, not a curated record.